AUACCUAUUAUAUAGGCUUGGCCUUUUCUCAGCCUUCAGCUUUGUACGUGACCCGUUGUGGUUCGUGGGAACCAACGGGAGGGAGGGCGGCUCUAACAGAUGUUGAGGGUGAAUCUGUCACCUGCACUGUAGAGGAUGUGGCUGCUCCAGGUGACUCUUGGGUUAGGUGUGCUUGUUACUGAACAAAAUCCUUUUCAUCCUAAGCUUGAGUCUGCAACCAAAACGAUAGGAAUGGGACGGCUCUAUUUGGCUGUGCUUUCUUAAAACUGUAGUUUGAGUAAAUUAUCGACAUGGAUGAUGCUAGCCUGUACAAGCCUGGCAUCACGUUCUGCCUGAGGAAAAGGAAAAAGGAAUGUUAGAAAUGGUUGUGGGCGAGCGUGCCUGUGGAAGGAGCAUGGCUUUCCCUUUUCUUCUCGUGGGCUCUGAAAGGGCAUUGCCUCUACCAGCAUUCAGUCUACACCAGAGAUGAGGAUAUGUGUCCAUGCGCGUUGUCUGUGAGUGUGCGUGCGAGUGUUAAUGCAAACAGCUUGUAAAUACUAUAGUUGUUUAAAAUGGAAAAUAAAAGCUGAGAAGUCUUUUGACAUAUAUUGAUCAGAAAAAAAUACAGUAUUGACCGUGGAUAAAAACAGGAAAUAAAUUUUUUUUCAUUUUG
Molecule: long non-coding RNA, 652 nt
Filed under: Mus musculus (house mouse)
Lineage: Eukaryota; Metazoa; Chordata; Mammalia; Rodentia; Muridae
Description: predicted gene, 49749
Source: RNAcentral